Molecule: ribosomal RNA, 492 nt
Filed under: uncultured bacterium
Lineage: Bacteria
Description: partial 16S ribosomal RNA
Rfam family: Bacterial small subunit ribosomal RNA
Source: RNAcentral
AGUGAACGCUGGCGGUAGGCCUAACACAUGCAAGUCGAACGGCAGCACAGUAAGAGCUUGCUCUUACGGGUGGCGAGUGGCGGACGGGUGAGGAAUACAUCGGAAUCUACCUUUUCGUGGGGGAUAACGUAGGGAAACUUACGCUAAUACCGCAUACGACCUACGGGUGAAAGCAGGGGAUCUUCGGACCUUGCGCGAUUGAAUGAGCCGAUGUCGGAUUAGCUAGUUGGCGGGGUAAAGGCCCACCAAGGCGACGAUCCGUAGCUGGUCUGAGAGGAUGAUCAGCCACACUGGAACUGAGGCACGGUCCAGACUCCUACGGGAGGCAGCAGUGGGGAAUAUUGGACAAUGGGCGCAAGCCUGAUCCAGCCAUACCGCGUGGGUGAAGAAGGCCUUCGGGUUGUAAAGCCCUUUUGUUGGGAAAGAAAAGCAGCAGGUUAAUACCCCGCUGUUCUGACGGUACCCAAAGAAUAAGCACCGGCUAACUUCGUG